AUACGGAGGGUCCAAGCGUUAUCCGGAUUCAUUGGGUUUAAAGGGUCCGCAGGCGGGAAAAUAAGUCAGUGGUGAAAGCCUACAGCUCAACUGUAGAACUGCCAUUGAUACUGUUUUUCUUGAGUAUAGAUGAAGUGGGCGGAAUAUAUCAUGUAGCGGUGAAAUGCAUAGAUAUGAUAUAGAACACCGAUUGCGAAGGCAGCUCACUAAACUAUUACUGACGCUCAGGGACGAAAGCGUGGGGAGCGAACAGGAUUAGAUACCCCGGUAGUCC
This 274-nucleotide ribosomal RNA is filed under the name uncultured bacterium. Its description in RNAcentral is "partial 16S ribosomal RNA". It matches the Rfam family "Bacterial small subunit ribosomal RNA", at positions 523 to 796 of the family's 1533-position model. The record is from RNAcentral.